RNAcentral lists this long non-coding RNA (450 nucleotides) under Lepidothrix coronata (blue-crowned manakin). RNAcentral's name for it is "lncRNA (ENSLCOG00000012522.1)". The record is from RNAcentral. Lineage: Eukaryota; Metazoa; Chordata; Aves; Passeriformes; Pipridae.
CCCACCCUGCCUGCUGGAUCCCCAGCAGUCUCUUGACACCUUGGGGGAAGGCUGGGAGGUGUAACCAUCGCCAGCGAGCGAGCGAGGGAGAGCAGGAGAGGAGGGAGAAGGAAGCCAAUAACAGGGAGGUCUAGGAAGGUGGUGGAGGGGGAGGGACGGGGCCACUCCUCCAUCGGUGGGACUGCAGAUUAUUUUGCAUGGAUUGUUGAAGAGAAAAGGGAGCUGCAUUUGUGAAGGGACCAAAAAUUAAACAGCUCAUUGCUCGGGCAGGGGCCGUGCCGGGAUCGGGAGCCCCGGGCUGUGGUAGGUGGGGCGAUGCUGCACGCGCUGUGACGGCGGGGGAUGCUCACGGAUGCACCUGGAGGAGAGGUAGUAGCGAGCCUGAGCUGAGCGCCGGGAGCGAUCCCGCAAGCGCCGGGACAACAAGCGGAACAUGAGCGAGAGCGGCCC